Molecule: long non-coding RNA, 646 nt
Filed under: Vigna radiata
Lineage: Eukaryota; Viridiplantae; Streptophyta; Magnoliopsida; Fabales; Fabaceae
Description: long non-coding RNA (VRAD_LNC018532)
Source: RNAcentral
CCUCAUAUAUCCAAAUUCUUGUUUAAUUCAUAUGCUUGCAUAUGCUUGAAUUAUCAAUUGGUGGGUUCCUUACCUGUAUCUAAUGCUUUUAUCGUUUAACUCAUUCGGUAAAUGUUGUUUGUCUUUAUUGAUACGGGAACGUACGGUAAUGUCAUGAACUGGGGGGAAUUCCUUGAUUAUGCAAAUACCGCCUAGGGAUAGGGGUAGGACGAUCAAUUGUAUCUUGCUUCUGUUUAUUUUGCAUUAUUAGUUACUAGGGGAGGGUAGGGAUAGCAAGCCGGUAAUUAGUAAUAGGCUCUNUUCGCCAAGGGAUUGAGUUAAGGGUAGACCAAGAAAGUUUGCAUGGCAAUAUGAUAAAUAAGCGAAUUAAAUAAGAAGAGUAGAUAUAUGACGGUGGAUAAGAUGAAAUUAUAAACCCCAACAACACCAUUCAUUCAUAGUUUUUCCUCAACCAUUGAUUCACUACAUUUGCAUGUUUACUUUUGCUUCUUUUUUUUUUGCAUUCAAAAACUUAAAAUCAAUUUCUUCUUAAGUCUUACGAAAUUAGGUUACACAAAAGUUAAAGCCUAAGAGUCCUUUGGGAAACGAUACUUGGACUUACCCAUUUUAUAUUACGUGAUAACGAUCUAGUACACUAGUAAGGGAC